This 264-nucleotide ribosomal RNA is filed under the name uncultured bacterium. RNAcentral describes it as "partial 16S ribosomal RNA". It matches the Rfam family "Bacterial small subunit ribosomal RNA", at positions 793 to 1055 of the family's 1533-position model. The record is from RNAcentral.
GUCCACGCCGUAACGAUGAGUGCUAAGUGUUAGGGGUUUCCGCCCCUUACGUGCUGCAGCUAACGCAUUAAGCACUCCGCCUGGGGAGUACGGCCGCAAGGCUGAAACUCAAAGGAAUUGACGGGGCCCGCACAAGCGGUGGAGCAUGUGGUUUAAUUCGAAGCAACGCGAAGAACCUUACCAGGUCUUGACAUCCUCUGACAACCCUAGAGAUAGGGCGUUCCCCUUCGGGGGACAGAGUGACAGGUGGUGCAUGGUUGUCGU